GCACUCCUACGGGAGGCAGCAGUGGGGAAUAUUGCACAAUGGGCGCAAGCCUGAUGCAGCCAUGCCGCGUGUAUGAAGAAGGCCUUCGGGUUGUAAAGUACUUUCAGCAGUGAGGAAGGUGGGUAUGUUAAUAGCAUAUUCAUUUGACGUUAGCUGCAGAAGAAGCACCGGCUAACUCCGUGCCAGCAGCCGCGGUAAUACGGAGGGUGCGAGCGUUAAUCGGAAUUACUGGGCGUAAAGCGCAUGCAGGUGGUUUGUUAAGUCAGAUGUGAAAGCCCGGGGCUCAACCUCGGAAUUGCAUUUGAAAACUGGCAAACUAGAGUACUGUAGAGGGGGUAGAAUUUCAGGUGUAGCGGUGAAAUGCGUAGAGAUCUGAAGGAAUACCGGUGGCGAAGGCGGCCCCCUGGACAGAUACUGACACUCAGAUGCGAAAGCGUGGGGAGCAAACAGGAUUAGAUACCCUGGUAG
Molecule: ribosomal RNA, 468 nt
Filed under: uncultured bacterium
Lineage: Bacteria
Description: bacterial SSU rRNA
Rfam family: Bacterial small subunit ribosomal RNA
Source: RNAcentral